GACUCUCGGGCCGCCUCCUGAACAUGUGUUGCCUUCAUUAUUUUCCAAUGACCUUUGGUUUUAUUUUGUGUUCCGAGACCCACCUUCUUUCUUACUUGGCGACCAUGUGGCAGAGGGCUAGGUACCGUGUGAUGUUCAGAUCCACCCACGGAGGGUCCAGUCUCGGUGGCUGGCGCACACAGGACCUCAUGUUUACCACUGGGUUGUGGGACCAGAACUUAUCCUUCCCUCCUGGACUUCGCUCCUCCUGAGCAAACGUCUCCUUCCCUGCCCACCCAGCUCGGCCUCUGGAAACCACCAGGCGACUCUGCUCCUAAGAGACCAAGGCUGUGUUCAGCGCACAGCGUCACGUGCAGGGCCUUUCUGAGUUGCUGAGGCUGGCCUUGAACUUGUGAUCCUCCUGCCUCAGCCUCCAAGUUGCUGGGAUGACAAGUGCGAGCCCAUCUACUCUUUCUUUUUAAAAGCUGAAUCGCGUUCUGCUGUGGUCUGCACCACAUUUUCAAGUCCGUUCCUCUGCACACGAACACAGGGUCAUUCAGUAGGGGACAGGGACCCUCUGUGCUCCCUGCAGUUCUUCUGUGGUCCUUCAGCUAGAGCUGGUCACGGGAAAAAUAAAUAAAACUUCCAGUAAGUCUGUGUGUCCACGAGGUCUUCACAAGACAGGGAAGUCUGAAGGAGCGCCCCAGGUGGGGUCCUGCCCAGACCCAGAGCCGGGGUCUCA
Molecule: long non-coding RNA, 721 nt
Organism: Marmota monax (woodchuck)
Lineage: Eukaryota; Metazoa; Chordata; Mammalia; Rodentia; Sciuridae
Exons: 3
Source: RefSeq, a predicted model, not a curated record